This 253-nucleotide ribosomal RNA is filed under the name uncultured bacterium. RNAcentral describes it as "partial 16S ribosomal RNA". It matches the Rfam family "Bacterial small subunit ribosomal RNA", at positions 524 to 776 of the family's 1533-position model. The record is from RNAcentral.
UACAUGUGGGGCAAGCGUUGUUCGGAAUUACUGGGCCUAAAGGGUGCGUAGGUGGCUUGUUAAGUCAGGGGUGAAAGUUUUCGGCCCAACCGGAAAAUGGCCUUUGAUACUGGCGAGCUCGAGUGCGUGAGGGGUAACCGGAACGAGCAGUGUAGCGGUGAAAUGCGUAGAUAUUGCUCGGAAGGCCAACGGCGAAGGCAGGUUACUGGUACGCAACUGACACUGAGGCACGAAAGCGUGGGGAGCAAACAGG